CGAGCUCAGUGUGAGUCUGAAACAUGAAUAAAAGGUAAAAGAUGGAGUGAAAAAAUAAAUACUUCAGACAAGCAUGUGCAUAAAAAUAUCACUUACGAAAGUCUCAAUCAGUAUGUCAAAUACAAUAUCAAACCACAGAAAUGAUUUUCCAGUCAUACGCAAUAAUCAAAUCAUAUUACAUGACAUUAACUAUAUUGUCAAUAACUAGAAGUUCACACAAACAAACAAAAUGUUUUGACAAAUAGACGUAUAUUCAGAUGCGAACAGAUGCACAAGUCAAAAUCCCACCCCAACCAAACACCACUUCAUCCAUCCAGUACACCACAUAAGGGCUAUGGUAGGCCCGUCCACCAUGCAUACCAUAUAGAACCAUAAUAGAUUCGUCCACCCUACACACCACAACGUGGAUCUAUGCCACUUGAGUAACUAUAUACAACUGAGCUGAUAUACUUAUAGAAUAGUGCGGUAAAUCGUUGUACAAAAGUAUUGCAGUUAAAACUGCUAAGUCUGUCUUCCUUCUUUCCAUAACCAGAUCCCAAAAUUUUCAUACUAUGCAACAAUACACACAUUACGCCAACAAUAUACAAAAAUAAACAUUAACAUUUCCAGUUGAAUAGAUUUAGAUUUGAUUACACUUGUAUUCUAAUAUUCAGUUACGAAAACAAUAAUAAACUCAUACUUAUUCAUCACAUAAACAAACGAUAAAAUUAAAGCCCAUAAACGCAUAUAUAUACACAAAUCAAACUAGAUCAAGUCCCAAACACACUUACUAAGGCUUGACCGAGGGUCGGAUUACACAGAAACAUAAAAUAGAUAGUUUAUGACUCAAAACAAAAAUUCUACAAAAUAGGGCCAUAUGGCCGUGUGCUUCGGCCAUGUGGAAGUGUCUAGGUCGUGUGGAGGCUUACACACCCAUGUGAAGGCUACACACACCUGUGUGGAGGGGACACACGCCUGCGUGAGUAGCUUGUGUAACUCACUGUCCAAAAAUGCCAAAAAUAAGGAGUAGAAGCGACACGGCCGUGUAGAGAUCUCACACACUCGUGUGGGUACACACAUGCGUGUGGCUAGGCCAUGUGGAACCAAAAACCAUUGAAAACCCUAAAUUCCCAAUUGCACACGGUCGUGUGGACCACCCGUGUACGGCACACGCCUGUGUGGCCACCCGUGUGGUCAUAAAACUAUACCGAAACAGCCUAAAAUUUGUAUCUUUAACACCGAAACAGUC
Molecule: long non-coding RNA, 1228 nt
Filed under: Gossypium barbadense (sea-island cotton)
Lineage: Eukaryota; Viridiplantae; Streptophyta; Magnoliopsida; Malvales; Malvaceae
Description: long non-coding RNA (GBAR_LNC005173)
Source: RNAcentral